UAAUAAUAAGAAGAAGAAGAAGAAUAAACAUUUUACAAAAAUUAAAAUAGUGAAACAACUCAAGCAUAGACAAAAUUCUCCUUAUUAGCAAACAGAAAAUUCUCAGGUUUCAAGUCUCUAUGCAUGACCCCAUUAGCAUGACACAUCCUUACAACUUCUGCUACAGUUCUGGCAACCCCAGCUGCAGCUCUUUCACUGUAAUGCCCUCUAGCUACAAUUCUAUCAAACAACUCCCCACCUUCACAUAACUCCAUAACAAGAUGAACUGCUUCAUUAUCUUCAUAAGUAGCUCUCAACUUCACAAUAUUUGGGUGAUCCGGAAGGCUUGACAUAAUAGCAACUUCUCUUCUCACAUCUUCGAUAUCAACAGCUGUUCGGAGCUUCUUCUUUGAAAUAGAUUUGCACGCAAGGGCUUCUCGGGUCUCCCGGUCGGUGCAAAGGUACGUCACUCCGAAUUCGCCCCGACCCAGUUCUCGUCCUAAGAUGUAUUUGUCAGAUAUGCGGGUUUUAGGGAUAAAAUCUUUGAGUACUCGGAUCGGUGCGGGUGACCCCGAAUACGGAUUGGGUCUACGUUCUCUGGGCUUCUUUGGUUUAGUUUGAGGAUCGGUUUUUGAAGCUUCUUCUGGUCUUAUGCAAGCGUUACAGUUACCCAUGGCGAAGUGAAAUGGGUUGCGCCGCCGCUAAUAGUGGUUGCCGGAGGUGGUGGAGGAGGUAGAGGACAUGGCACGGCAAAGACUUUUGCAAUUUUCUGUAUUUCGUGAGAGAGAGAAAAGA
This 774-nucleotide unclassified non-coding RNA is filed under the name Hevea brasiliensis (rubber tree). The record is from RNAcentral. Lineage: Eukaryota; Viridiplantae; Streptophyta; Magnoliopsida; Malpighiales; Euphorbiaceae.